CCUACGGGUGGCAGCAGUGAGGAAUAUUGGUCAAUGGGCGCGAGCCUGAACCAGCCAAGUAGCGUGAAGGAUGACUGCCCUACGGGUUGUAAACUUCUUUUAUAAAGGAAUAAAGUGAGGCACGUGUGCCAUUUUGUAUGUACCAUAUGAAUAAGGAUCGGCUAACUCCGUGCCAGCCGCCGCGGUAAGACGGAGGUUCCGAGCGUUAUCCGGAUUUUUUGGGUUUAAAGGGAGCGUAGGUGGAUUGUUAAGUCAGUUGUGAAAGUUUGCGGCUCAACCGUAAAAUUGCAGUUGAAACUGGCAGGCUUGAGUACAGUAGAGGUGGGCGGAAUUCGUGGUGUAGCGGUGAAAUGCUUAGAUAUCACGAAGAACUCCGAUUGCGAAGGCAGUUCACUGGACUGCAACUGACACUGAGGCUCGAAAGUGUGGGUAUCAAACAGGAUUAGAUACCCGGGUAGUC
RNAcentral lists this ribosomal RNA (460 nucleotides) under uncultured bacterium. RNAcentral's name for it is "partial 16S ribosomal RNA". It matches the Rfam family "Bacterial small subunit ribosomal RNA", at positions 338 to 795 of the family's 1533-position model. The record is from RNAcentral.